UGAAAAGGCCGGCGGGUUGUAAAGCACUUUUAUCAGGGGCGAAAUCUGACUGACCAAUACGGAUGCAGUCUGACGGUACCUGAGGAAUAAGCACCGGCUAACUUCGUGCCAGCAGCCGCGGUAAUACGAAGGGUGCAAGCGUUAAUCGGAAUUACUGGGCGUAAAGGGUGCGCAGGCGGUUGUUUAAGUCUGACGUGAAAUCCCCGGGCUCAACCUGGGAAUGGCGAUGGAUACUGGUGGGCUAGAGUGUGUCAGAGGGUGGUGGAAUUCCCGGUGUAGCGGUGAAAUGCGUAGAGAUCGGGAGGAACAUCAAUGGCGAAGGCGGCCAUCUGGGACAACACUGACGCUGAGGCACGAAAGCGUGGGGAGCAAACAGGAUUAGAUACCCUGGUAGUCCACGCCCUAAACGAUGUGAACUGGAUGUUGGUCUCAACACAGAGAUCAAUGUCGAAGCUAACGCGUUAACUUCACCGCCUGGGGAGUACGGUCGCAAGAUUGAAACUCAAAUGAAUUGACGGA
RNAcentral lists this ribosomal RNA (519 nucleotides) under uncultured bacterium. RNAcentral's name for it is "bacterial SSU rRNA". It matches the Rfam family "Bacterial small subunit ribosomal RNA", at positions 406 to 917 of the family's 1533-position model. The record is from RNAcentral.